Molecule: ribosomal RNA, 347 nt
Filed under: uncultured bacterium
Lineage: Bacteria
Description: bacterial SSU rRNA
Rfam family: Bacterial small subunit ribosomal RNA
Source: RNAcentral
AGAGUUUGAUCCUGGCUCAGGAUAAACGCUGGCGGCGCACAUAAGACAUGCAAGUCGAACGAACUUAACCAUUAGUUUACUAUUGGAGCGGUUAGUGGCGGACUGGUGAGUAACACGUAAGCAACCUGCCUAUCAGAGGGGAACAACAGUUAGAAAUGACUGCUAAUACCGCAUAUGCCUUAGAAUCACAUGGUUCAAAAGGGAAAGGAGCAAUCCGCUGAUAGAUGGGCUUGCGUCUGAUUAGCUAGUUGGUGGGUAACGCCUACAGGCGACGAUCAGUAGCCGAACUGAGAGGUUGAACGGCCACAUUGGGACUGAGAUACCGGCCCAGACUCCUACGGGAANCA